Neofelis nebulosa (Clouded leopard) is the source of this 2247-nucleotide long non-coding RNA. RefSeq lists it as uncharacterized. NCBI's taxonomy places the organism in Eukaryota, Metazoa, Chordata, Mammalia, Carnivora, Felidae. The transcript is spliced from 5 exons. The record is from RefSeq and is a predicted model, not a curated record.
GUUCAAAGGGCACCCCAAAGGGAAACAGGUAUUCCAGGAGGGAGGGAGGGAAGGAGGAAGGGAGGGAGAGAGAGAGAGAGAGAAAGAAAGAAGGAAGAAGAAGAAAGAGAGGAGAGAGAGAGAGAGAAGGAAAGGGGGAGAGGAGGGCAUUCUAUGUUUCCUUCUAGUGAGAUGGAAGGAAUGGAAGAUUCUCUUUUCAGGGACAGCAUUAUGACAUCAAAAUAUUAAUCAUCCGACACUGUACACAAGGUGUUGGAGGGGAGAGCAUGAAACCUUAGUCUUUCACAAGGAAUAGGCUUAAAAAAGUUUCAAGGAUUUUUUUGCAAAUUAUAAAUACACUUAUUAUUAUUUAUUGCAGAGAUCAGCCUUCAUUAAAGUUAAAUGCACAGUUAAUGGGCUACUUUGUGCUUUAUCUUUUGCACCCUCAUUAAAGUUGAGGGUAGGCACAUGCAUUCCCUUAAGUAUGCUAGAAGGCAAAAUGAUUUCAGUUUUUUUGUAUUGUUGCUUCUGUUGUUUCAUUAGUAGCCAAUUAAUUGUUCCUAAUGAAUUAUCAAAGGCACUAACAAUAUCUGGGUUCUUCUUUUCCACUAACUAGCUCAACUAUAGAAAACUUAAUAUUUUCUGGGAAGUUUUUUUUUUUUUUUUAACCCAUUUCUUCUGAACUCUAUUGAACUCAAAGGGAUUCCUCCCACACUCCAAGAACAGCUAGAAGAAGGAGGGAGGAGAAGGUCAGAAGAGCACAGGGGUGGUAACAGCUCUCCUGAGCCUCAACCCAAUGCCAGAGAAGGAGCUCCAACCACUCUGCCAGUUGUGUGGAGAAGGAAUUAAGGAGGAGGAGAAGAAUGGAAGCAGGGGCACCUGCAAGGAGACCACUGGUUGUGACAGGAGCACUUGGCGAGCACGGACAUUGAUGUGGGGACGAGAGAGGGCACGGCGUCUCUGAAGGCAGAGACGUCCUACUGCUUUCCUCACUCCUGUACUUCCAGUGCCUGUGACUGUGCCUGGCGAAUAACUAGUCUUUGGAUCCUGCGAGCACAGCACAGACAUUACCUCCCUGGGCUUCCAAACACCUCUGUGAGCUGAGGAUCAAGGACAGGGAUUAUUUUACAGAUGGGAAAACUGGCACUCAAAAACCGCAUAUGUGCCAAGACCCCUUCACAAGAUAGCGGCACAGCCAGAAACAGGAUGCAGUGUCACCACAUCAAAACAGAACUGGACACAUUCCUGCAGUCACUUCUCAUCUCUACCCUCACUGAAGGCCAGAUGGUACAUCUCCUUCCUGAAGCUGUGGCAACGCGUGGCCAGCCUCCCAGCUCCAGUCCUACUCCCCACCUCCCAUCUGGGCUCUGAUGUUAAGUCAUCUUUCUCAAGCACCAUGUGAGCCCAUCUCAGACACUUCAAAAGCCUCCGGUUGCUUCUUUUCCUAACAGCCCCCUUCAUGAGGUUUGAACCUCUUAUCACAGCCCUUCCCACUCUCACAGAGCCUCUUGGUUGGAGGCUGGGAUGACUUCCAUUAUCACUAUCUACCAAGCCCCCACUAGAUCCUCGGUACAAGUUUAUUAAACUAGAAGAAUCAUAACAAACCCUAUGACAUAACCACCCUCCCAGAUUCCCCUCUCAGUUGUGACACACCAGCUCACAAAUCCCUAGCCAAACCUUCCUUCCAUGCACAGAUUCCAUGGAACAGAUUCCAUGACACUUGAGGGAAGCAGCUCCUCCAGGAGGGUGCUCAUUCAUGAUAUUAACCUUCUUCUCCCUUCUUAUCCAUCAGCAGCUGUCCCUUGUUCACGGUCCCCACCCACUUUUCCUUACCCAGUCAGCAGGAAUCCCCUCACCUACCAACCCCACACACAUACUCCCACUACCCCUUUGUACUUUGCACAAUAUACUUGCCAUUAUCCCCACACAACCACCCGCUCUGGUCUCCUUCAGCAAACCAGGCUCUUUUCCCAUUUAGAACUGUGCCCAGGAGGAGGGGCCCUGCCAGAUACCCUCACCGUAUCUUCUUCCACGUGGUCUCUUUCAAAAUGGGAUUCUCUUCAGCAGCAGCCAAUUAGUACAGAAUGUCUGUUGUAGACAGCUCUUAGCAUUAAGUGCCAAGAAAGCUACAUGGUGUGUGUUUUAGUCUCUGCCUUUGGGGACCUUAUGAUAUAGUUGGUGAUACAAGAAAUAUGCAGAAAAUAGUUACGUGGCUUCCAAGGUCCUUACAUCUGCAGGCAUUUCUCUCCCCCCCCCUUCCAUGUGAUU